This 478-nucleotide ribosomal RNA is filed under the name uncultured bacterium. Its description in RNAcentral is "bacterial SSU rRNA". It matches the Rfam family "Bacterial small subunit ribosomal RNA", at positions 30 to 525 of the family's 1533-position model. The record is from RNAcentral.
AUUGAACGCUGGCGGCAUGCCUUACACAUGCAAGUCGAACGGCAGCACGGGAGCAAUCCUGGUGGCGAGUGGCGAACGGGUGAGUAAUGUAUCGGAACGUACCUUUCAGUGGGGGAUAACGUAGCGAAAGUUACGCUAAUACCGCAUAUUCUGUGAGCAGGAAAGCAGGGGAUCGCAAGACCUUGCGCUGAUUGAGCGGCCGAUAUCAGAUUAGCUAGUUGGUGAGGUAAAGGCUCACCAAGGCGACGAUCUGUAGCGGGUCUGAGAGGAUGAUCCGCCACACUGGAACUGAGACACGGUCCAGACUCCUACGGGAGGCAGCAGUGGGGGAAUAUUGGACAAUGGGCGCAAGCCUGAUCCAGCCAUGCCGCGUGAGUGAUGAAGGCCCUAGGGUUGUAAAGCUCUUUCACCGGUGAAGAUAAUGACGGUAACCGGAGAAGAAGCCCCGGCUAACUUCGUGCCAGCAGCCGCGGUAAAG